RNAcentral lists this ribosomal RNA (1684 nucleotides) under Salmonella enterica. RNAcentral's name for it is "partial 23S ribosomal RNA". It matches the Rfam family "Bacterial large subunit ribosomal RNA", at positions 1 to 1632 of the family's 2925-position model. The record is from RNAcentral. Lineage: Bacteria; Pseudomonadati; Pseudomonadota; Gammaproteobacteria; Enterobacterales; Enterobacteriaceae.
GGGUUGUGAGGUUAAGCGACUAAGCGUACACGGUGGAUGCCCUGGCAGUCAGAGGCGAUGAAGGGCGUGCUAAUCUGCGAUAAGCGCCGGUAAGGUGAUAUGAACCGUUAUAACCGGCGAUACCCGAAUGGGGAAACCCAGUGUGACUCGUCACACUAUCAUUAACUGAAUCCAUAGGUUAAUGAGGCGAACCGGGGGAACUGAAACAUCUAAGUACCCCGAGGAAAAGAAAUCAACCGAGAUUCCCCCAGUAGCGGCGAGCGAACGGGGAGGAGCCCAGAGCCUGAAUCAGCAUGUGUGUUAGUGGAAGCGUCUGGAAAGGCGCGCGAUACAGGGUGACAGCCCCGUACACAAAAGCGCAUGUGCUGUGAGCUCGAUGAGUAGGGCGGGACACGUGGUAUCCUGUCUGAAUAUGGGGGGACCAUCCUCCAAGGCUAAAUACUCCUGACUGACCGAUAGUGAACCAGUACCGUGAGGGAAAGGCGAAAAGAACCCCGGCGAGGGGAGUGAAAAAGAACCUGAAACCGUGUACGUACAAGCAGUGGGAGCACCCUUCGGGGUGUGACUGCGUACCUUUUGUAUAAUGGGUCAGCGACUUAUAUUCUGUAGCAAGGUUAACCGUAUAGGGGAGCCGGAGGGAAACCGAGUCUUAACCGGGCGUUAAGUUGCAGGGUAUAGACCCGAAACCCGGUGAUCUAGCCAUGGGCAGGUUGAAGGUUGGGUAACACUAACUGGAGGACCGAACCGACUAAUGUUGAAAAAUUAGCGGAUGACCUGUGGCUGGGGGUGAAAGGCCAAUCAAACCGGGAGAUAGCUGGUUCUCCCCGAAAGCUAUUUAGGUAGCGCCUCGUGAAUUCAUCUCCGGGGGUAGAGCACUGUUUCGGCUAGGGGGCCAUCCCGGCUUACCAACCCGAUGCAAACUGCGAAUACCGGAGAAUGUUAUCACGGGAGACACACGGCGGGUGCUAACGUCCGUCGUGAAGAGGGAAACAACCCAGACCGCCAGCUAAGGUCCCAAAGUCAUGGUUAAGUGGGAAACGAUGUGGGAAGGCCCAGACAGCCAGGAUGUUGGCUUAGAAGCAGCCAUCAUUUAAAGAAAGCGUAAUAGCUCACUGGUCGAGUCGGCCUGCGCGGAAGAUGUAACGGGGCUAAACCAUGCACCGAAGCUGCGGCAGCGAACGUAUCACCCAAGACAACUUUACGGAGUUGACGAUUGACGGAGCGAAGCGACGUCAAAGCGUUCAUUAAAGUCGAGUUGGCUUAGGGAUACGUUCGUUGGGUAGGGGAGCGUUCUGUAAGCCUGUGAAGGUGUGUCGUGAGGCAUGCUGGAGGUAUCAGAAGUGCGAAUGCUGACAUAAGUAACGAUAAAGCGGGUGAAAAGCCCGCUCGCCGGAAGACCAAGGGUUCCUGUCCAACGUUAAUCGGGGCAGGGUGAGUCGACCCCUAAGGCGAGGCCGAAAGGCGUAGUCGAUGGGAAACGGGUUAAUAUUCCCGUACUUGGUGUUACUGCGAAGGGGGGACGGAGAAGGCUAUGUUGGCCGGGCGACGGUUGUCCCGGUUUAAGCGUGUAGGUGUGUGUUCCAGGUAAAUCCGGUUCACUUUAACACUGAGGCGUGACGACGAGGCACUACGGUGCUGAAGCAACAAAUGCCCUGCUUCCAGGAAAAGCCUCUAAGCAUCAGGU